Molecule: ribosomal RNA, 497 nt
Filed under: uncultured bacterium
Lineage: Bacteria
Description: partial 16S ribosomal RNA
Rfam family: Bacterial small subunit ribosomal RNA
Source: RNAcentral
GAUGAACGCUGGCGGCGUGCCUAAUACAUGCAAGUCGAGCGAACAGACGAGGAGCUUGCUCCUCUGACGUUAGCGGCGGACGGGUGAGUAACACGUGGAUAACCUACCUAUAAGACUGGGAUAACUUCGGGAAACCGGAGCUAAUACCGGAUAAUAUAUUGAACCGCAUGGUUCAAUAGUGAAAGACGGUUUUGCUGUCACUUAUAGAUGGAUCCGCGCCGCAUUAGCUAGUUGGUAAGGUAACGGCUUACCAAGGCAACGAUGCGUAGCCGACCUGAGAGGGUGAUCGGGCACACUGGAACUGAGACACGGUCCAGACUCCUACGGGAGGCAGCCGUAGGGAAUCUUCCGCAAUGGGCGAAAGCCUGACGGAGCAACGCCGCGUGAGUGAUGAAGGUCUUCGGAUCGUAAAACUCUGUUAUUAGGGAAGAACAAAUGUGUAAGUAACUAUGCACGUCUUGACGGUACCUAAUCAGAAAGCCACGGCUAACUACGUG